This 1090-nucleotide long non-coding RNA is filed under the name Coturnix japonica (Japanese quail). RNAcentral's name for it is "lncRNA (ENSCJPG00005004997.1)". The record is from RNAcentral. Lineage: Eukaryota; Metazoa; Chordata; Aves; Galliformes; Phasianidae.
AUGAACUUUGUGCUCCCACGGCGCGGCCCAAAACCAAAGGGCUCAAUGUCUCCCCCUGGCGGCGGAGGGCGGCGCUGCAGCUCCUGCUCUGCUCGGAUCCACAGAGUCCCGUUAUGGGGGUGGGGGGUUCAUUGCGGGGGGGGGGGGUUUAUUUGGGGUCCCCCCCCCUCCUCAGCUCUUUUCUUUUUGCUUUUUUUUUUUUGUCCUUUUUUCCCAUUUUUUCCUCACAUUUUUUGCUUUUUUUUCAUGUUUUUUUUUCUCCUUUUUUUCCUCGUUUUUUUUCCUCUUUUUUUGAUCCAUUUUUCCUCCAUUUUUGAUGCAUUUUCUGCUCCUUCUUUUCCCUUUUUCUUCCUCUUUUUUUUUGCUCCUUUUUCUCCAUUUUGCCUUUUUCCACCUUUUUUCCUCUUUUUUUUCUCCUAUUUUCUCCAUUUUUGCUUUAUUUUCCUCCAUUUUCUCCUUUUUUUCCUCUUUUUCUCCUCCUAUUUUCUCCAUUUUUCUUCAUUUUCCUCCAUUUUCUCCUUUCUUUCCUCCUUUUUGCCUCCAUUUUUCCUCCAUUUUCUUCCAUUUUUUCUCCUUCUUUUCACUCUUUUUCCUUUUUUCCUCCUUUUUUCCCUCCUUUUUUCCCUUUUUUCCCCAUUUUCCCCCCUUUUUCCUGCUUUUUUCCUCCAUUUUUCCUCUUUUUUAUCCCCGAUUUUUCUUCCUUUUUUCCUCUUCUUUCCCAUUUUCUCCUUUUUUUCCCUCCUUUUUUUCUCUUUUUUUCUCCUUCUUUUCCCCAUUUUCCUUUAUUUUUUCUCCUAUUUCUUUCAUAUUUUCUCCCUUUUUCCCCAUUUCCUCCUUUUUUUCCUCUUUUUUUCCUUCUAUUUUCUCCUUCUUUCCUCUUUUUCCCCCAUUUUUUCCUCCAUUUUUUCUUCACCUUUUCCCAUUUCUCUCAAUUUUCCCCCUCUUUCCCCCCCAAUUCUCCUUUUUAUCUCAUUUUCUCCCUCUUUUCUCUUUUUUCUCCUAUUUCCUCCUAUUUUCCUGCUUUUUUUUCUCUAUUUUUCCUCCAUUUUUUCUCCUCCUUUUUCCCUUUUCCUCCUUUUUUUCUCUUUUU